GAUGAACGCUGGCGGCGUGCCUAAUACAUGCAAGUCGAGCGGCAGCACAGUCUUCGGACUGGUGGCGAGCGGCGGACGGCUGAGUAACGCGUAGGAAUAUACCCCAAAGUGAGGGAUAACUGCCCGAAAGGGUGGCUAAUACCGCAUGUGGUCUUCGGACUAAAGCCUUCGGGCGCUUUGGGAAUAGCCUGCGUAAGAUUAGCUAGUUGGUGAGGUAAUGGCUCACCAAGGCGACGAUCUUUAGCUGGUCUGAGAGGAUGACCAGCCAGACUGGAACUGAGACACGGUCCAGACUCCUACGGGAGGCAGCAGUAGGGAAUUUUCCACAAUGGGCGAAAGCCUGAUGGAGCAACGCCGCGUGCAGGAUGAAGGCCCUCGGGUCGUAAACUGCUUUUAUGUGCGAAGAAUAUGACGGUAACACAUGAAUAAGGGUCGGCGUAACUACGUGCCAGCAGCCG
Molecule: ribosomal RNA, 458 nt
Filed under: uncultured bacterium
Lineage: Bacteria
Description: bacterial SSU rRNA
Rfam family: Bacterial small subunit ribosomal RNA
Source: RNAcentral